AAUUUUUUGUAUUCACUGGAUAAUUAUGAGAAUUUUUAAAAAUCGAUCACAAUCUCCUAAACCUAAAAGCAAUCCUUGCCUUUCCUUUUCUACGUUCCCUCCCAAUCCCCAAACUCAUGAACGUGCUUAUUAGUAGCUUUCUGAGCUAAGAUCACAAACAAGAAAGGAAGUUCUCUUUCUCUUUAAAUUACAAUCAUCACCCCAGAAACAUCCAGCCACGUGGAGGUACUUCACAAAUACGUCCUCUCAACCCCAGCAGCCACUGUGCAUCCCCCAGCGAAACAUCUUCUAGGAGGAAAUUCAUCAAGAUUUACCUUUCUCUUCCUUUGCCUCGAGCUUGGGCUUGAACUGACGUGUCAGAUGGCUGAUGUCUUCACUUCUACAUAGUACGGAAUUUAUCACAAAGGAAACGAAAAAUCCUCCAGCUCACCUCUGCUGUGUGUCCGCCUGAGCUGGCUGCCCAGAUGGAGCGCCUACAGCGAAGGUCAGAGGCAACCCCAGUGGGCCAGACCCAGCCGUGAGGAGGGCUGGGGCUGACUGCUGAUGGCGAGGCGUGGGGCCACUGCCCCACAGCCAGAUUUAUGGCUGAGCAAGGCAGUUAAGGGUGGCUCCAGUCCUACCAACCAGGAGAUAUUGACAACACCCUCACAUCAUCUCAGACAGAUUUUUACGCUGAAAUAGAAGCCUCAUGAUUGGACAAGGCAAACAUUUCAGAUAGUGCUAAGAGCGAGGAGGGGAAAAAAAGAUAAGAAAAGGACUCACCCCUACCCGUAACAAUAUCUACUUGCUUUAAGGGUGGGAAGCUGGGAGGUGGGGGAAGCUUCAAUCAUUAAGGAGGGAAAUCUCAGACUCCUUGUCUGGUUUGUGUCACAGAACUUGGGUUUAAGGCCUGCUUCCGCCUCUUGCACAGCAUGCGAGUUUUAGGGCAAAUUACUCUAUGCUUUCUGAAUCUCAUUUUCCCGAUUUGCAUCUUGAGGAUAAAAAUAUCUGUCCUAUCUCCUUCACAGACUGAAUGUGGAAAUCUAUGCGAAACCACCUUAAAAAAACAAAACUGUGAAAUGCAACACAAAUAUCCAGUACCAUUAAUAAUUUUUAGUUACAAAUUUAAUUUGGUGUUGCAGGAUAUCUUAGCAUAAUGGUUGGCUGCUUCAGAUAUUUUAGUAACUAUUAGUACAUUAGCGAUUACACGUUUAUGUAUAUAAGUUUGGAAUUGCCCAAAUCCCACUGUCAGCAAUUGUCCAAUUUUGAUCAAUUCCCCUAUAAUUACAGCACCUAAAACUAUCUAAUUUGUCAGAUGUGUCAAAUGUUAACAAAAACAGUGGCACAAGCUGUGUGCUGGUAUUAUUACAUGUUAGGAAAUGUAAGAAGGAAGCCAGGCUCCGUGGCUUGGCUUGUGAAAGCACCUGUCUGGUAGAAAAGGUAAGAUCAGCUCACACUGGACAGCUGACAUUACCUUAAGCCAGGUGCACUCAACCAUGAUGAUUCUGGCCCCCACAAUACCUAGAAAUAUUUUUGGCGGUCACGACUGAGGUCAUGGUACUGACAUCUAAUGGGAAGAGUUCAGAGAUGCUGUUAAAACCUCUUAUAAUGCACAGGACGGCCCCCACGGCAAUGAUUAUCUUGGUUCCAUAUGUCAUUAGCGCAGAGGCUGAGAAACUCUGCCUUGAAAUUUUUUUGCCUAUCUCAUUAAACCCACUAAAAUACAAGAAAAAAUACUCCUAAAAGUCUAAAGCAAGAGCAUCGGCACUCUGUCAAAGGAGCCAAACUGCCUAACAAAUUCUGCAAAUACUGCCCGAACCUGCUUCCCUCGUCUUGUGUCAAUGAACUGCCCUUGGAUGCAGGAAAACGCAGACGGGACAGAGCUCAUUUCGAAUCAUAAACCUGGACCCAGUUUGGCUGACGGGCGGGCAAAAGGAACAUCUGGUCUCCAUAGGCAUAGUGCUCAGCGGGAGGAAUCCUUAUAAAUGGGCAGAAAGCAGGCUGCUGCUUCAGGCCUCAAAAGCCAAGCAGCCAUCGUGGAGCCGCCCUGGUUCUAUUUCAAUUCAGCAGGACUCCUUCCAAAGGCACAUUAACAGAUGAAUGGACAAACCCAUCUGCAGCAAGGAAUGCCCAGAACAGGAUCUCAGUGGACAAGCAUGGCUGGUAUUCAACAGGGGAAAAGCAAUAAAUUCCAUAGAGACAAAAGCCCAGCUUUUGCACAGUUCAUCACCUUUCUAAGCCAAUUUAUCAUAAGCAGGAUCCCUCAGCACUCACACCUGCUUUUAUACAAAAUGUUAACAUCUGCAGCAUUGCUUACAUAAGUGUUUGUCCUAAGGUUCAUGACCCACUGAUGCAUCAUUUAAUGAUUUGAGACCAAUAAUUUUUUUGGCUGCGCCUGUGGUAUGCAGAAAUUCCAGGGCCAGGGACCAAACCCGAACCACAGCAGUGAUAACACCAGAUCCUUAACCCGCUGAGCCACCAGGGAACUCCUAGUAUCAAUAUUUUUAGAUGACUAGAAUAUAAUGGAGAAGAAAAGAAGAAAAGAGAAAAGGAAAGAAAAGGAACAGAGAAUACAGUAAAAGGAACAGAGAAGAUUUUAUCUGAAAAAGGACACUAAAUUUUUUGUGUGCUUGAAUGUUUGCCUAUAUUCUGGGUUGUGAAGUAAAAUUAUAUCUCCUUGAGUAAUGAUCAAUAAAAAAAAGAGUUUGAAAAAACUGCUUUAAAAAAAAAUUUGUUUGGCCAUGCCCAUGGCAUAUGGAAGUUCCCAGACUAUGGAUCAAACCCACGUCACAGCAGCAACCUGAGCCUCUGCAGUGGCAACACCAGGUCCUUAAUCCACUACACCACAAGGGAACUCCUGAAAACAGUGAUUUAUAAAACCGCAAGUAGUAGUUUCAUCAGAAUGGCACAUCCAUUCUAACAAGACCCAAGGACAACCCAAGUCUAGAGGGUCAUGAAACAUUUGAAAAAUCAUUGCUCAAAGCAAAUAAUUCAGCUGGAUAAGAAGAGCCAGAAGGAAAAAGACUCAUCAUCAUUAAUCGGGUUAUGGGUGUCCGGCACUGUCACUGCCAUGGCUCAGGUCACUUCAAUCCCUGGCCUAGGAAUUCCCAUGUGCCAUGGGUACAGCCAAAAAAAAAAAAAAGUGCAGGUCUGGGCACCACAUGUGAGGUCCAUGUACUCGCCCUUCUGCAGUCUAUGAAUUAAAAGAAGCUUCCACUGGACACUCAAAUGCUUUCUAUGAAAAUUAAAAAUCCCCCCCCCCAAAAGAAGUCAGCUGAAGAACUGGGUCUUGAGACUGUGUGGGAUUCUGCUGGAUGAAGAAAGGAAAGCAGGACAUUUCAAGGAAUAGAAAACAGUGCGUCUGAAGACACAGGCUCUCCAGAACCACUCUCUGAAUCCAUAAGUGACUGAAUCAACCAGCAGACAGCAGACUCAAUGAAGAAAGCCCCCAGCUUGCUCAGGAACGGUGACAAGCGCAGCAGGGGCUGAGCACAAGUGUCAGGGACAACGUUCAGAGAGGUGAGCAGGAAACAGUGAGAGGGGAAGGUGGAAGGAGGGAGCGGGGGCUGGGGGAGACCUGACCAUCACCGCCCAUCACCCUCGUGUCCUCCCUCACUGGCCCAGGAGCCCCGCCGUGGCACCAUCUCCUGGGGACACGCUGGGACACCCCCCAGGAAGGAGUCCACAGGAACCAACAGCUCCGACAUCAGUGUGGGCAGCAGCACUGGCAGAAGAAAGAAAACGCCCUUGGUGUUGGCGGCAACUUGGGGAGCAGAAGUGAAAUGAGCGUUUCCAUGCCCAACUCGACGUGCAUUUUUUUCCCAGGAGAGAAACAAAAGCCCCGUCAUCUCUGAUCCCCUCUCCAAAGGGGCUUCUCGGCUCUUGGAGGAAAGGGGAGCAAUUCCCAACGUGAACCGUCUGUAGAAUCAAUAAGCGAGUUUACAACGUCUCCCGCAGCGUGGAGUGUAGGAGAGUGGUGGUGAGACCCACAAUCCCACAAAUAUUACUGCUAUGCCUUUGGAAUGUCGGUGAGUUGAGAGGCCCAGCUACAUCUGCGCCAUCACGGAAACUGAAAAUAUUUCAGGGUUGUUUUUUUUUUUUUUUUAAAUCACCACUUCCAUAAAAGUGACAGCAUUCAUAGAGUCUAAACUGAUCUAUGGAAAGAGAAACUUUCUUAUUUUUCUUUCAGAAAUGAACAAAACAAAUCCCAUGCAUAUUCAUUCACGGUCUUUCAAGCAGGAAUUUUUUUUUUUUUUAAAUACCGAAUGUUGAGUCCCUGUCUACAUUUUCUCCCAAGGGUCCUUCAAGUCUCAUCCACAAAUACUGGCCAACGCCUUGGUCUCUGUAGAGCCUGUACUGCUUUGGUGACUGCUGGAAACAAAGAUUCACAAGAUUGGAAAUGGUUAGCAUGACCUUUUUUUCUUUUUUUCUCUCCUGUCGGAGGUUCUCAGGCUAAGGGUCGAAUCGGAGCUGGAGCCUCUGGCCUACACCACAGCCACAGCCAAUGCUAGAUCUGAGCCGUGUCUGCCACCUACACCACAGCUCACGGCAA
This 4531-nucleotide long non-coding RNA is filed under the name Sus scrofa (pig). RNAcentral's name for it is "lncRNA (ENSSSCG00040038500.1)". Lineage: Eukaryota; Metazoa; Chordata; Mammalia; Artiodactyla; Suidae. The record is from RNAcentral.